GGUUACAUUUGACCAGAAUGUAUGCGAUGUGCUGCAUAAUUGAUUUGAAGGAAAAGGUUACACUAUUUAUUACAGACAGCAAGGAAACAUCAUUGAACACCACCAACUAAUAAGACUCCAAAGGAAUAAUGGAAAAUAAGAUAUUUAAAGCUGUCAAAAAGCAGAGAUUAGAGUUCAGUGGAUUCCAUGACGAUA
This is a long non-coding RNA of Saccostrea cuccullata (small rock oyster), 195 nucleotides long. RefSeq lists it as uncharacterized. Lineage: Eukaryota; Metazoa; Mollusca; Bivalvia; Ostreida; Ostreidae. The record is from RefSeq and is a predicted model, not a curated record. The transcript has 3 exons.